Molecule: long non-coding RNA, 1288 nt
Organism: Ananas comosus (pineapple)
Lineage: Eukaryota; Viridiplantae; Streptophyta; Magnoliopsida; Poales; Bromeliaceae
Exons: 4
Source: RefSeq, a predicted model, not a curated record
UUUUAACUCAUAUUCUUUUAAAAUUCGGACCUUUUCGUAAAUAUUAGUUUUUGAGGAACUCGGCGGCAUUUUGUGCCAAGUAAUCACUAAUUCCUAAUUAUCUCCACCAUCCGUUUGACCUAGCCGCAACCCUCCUUAAUUCCUCCCUCAUUGCACCCGUACGGCUCCACCCUCCCUCACGCGUGCACGACGCCGUUGAUCACCGUCAUCGUCGCCGUCGUCCGCGGCAGCCGCCGCAAUCCUCAUCCGUCGGCAUUUUUUUGAUUCGUCGUCGACGACAUUUCAUCGUCGUCGUUUCUAUCUUUAAGAAGGUUCCGACGAUUGAAUUUUCGGCGCAUUCUCGACUGGAUAAUUUUUCUAUCUUUGAGGUAUUCGUUAAGGUACUGAGACCGAUUCGCAGGGCGGGGCUGGGAGCGAGUGAACGUUAGAUGUAGCUAGAUUUGAUUCUAGCCUCUUCGUCCUAUUUCUAUUGUAUUUAGAUAUGAACUUUGAACUUCGUAGAUAAUCAUUGUUUAUCUGUUUCUACUUUGUUAUUUCAUCGUACCCAUAUUUGUUACUUAAGCACUAGUUAGACUAAAUUUUGUUUGAUAUGCAUAAUAAACUAUAGUUCUGCUUAUAUGUGAUUUUCUUUGAUUCUAGUUGAAUUUAAAUUGAUGACCUCAUCUUUCGACAAUUUGGAUUUCUAUUUUUAUGAUCAUCUCUGUAUGUGAUUUGUCUGAUUCUGAAGCCUUGCAUAUUUACUAAAUAAUAGAUAUGCGGCGUCUGUUAUGCCUCGGGUUUGGGGCGUGACACAGAUUGCGCCAACAGACCAGGAACAGUAUCUACUGCAGCAUCUACUCCAGCAGCUCCAUGGCAGGAUGUGGCAACAUGACGUAUUCUUCAUCUCGACGCCCCUCGACAUCCCAGCAGGAGGAGGGGGCACACCAAACCACUGGCGGACGCGUCUACAUGAUGACGCGCCAGGAGGAAGAUCAAUCGGCUGACGUCGUCGCAGUGAAUACGAUUUGCCUUCAUGGCUCUACCAUACCCACUGGAAAACCUUAAUUGUGGUUUCUCACCCCUAAUUUCCCAAGGUGGCUCGGGCAAGGAGUUGGUUCUUGGUGCGACGGGAGGACGUUCUAGCUACACUGUAGUAGCAAUCGCCACCCUCGUUACUUUUCAUUUUCGCAUUUAGUAAUUUAAAUGAUGAAAUGGUUCAGUUAGAUGAUCACUAUUAUUGUUUGAAUAUUCGUAAAUUUGUAUGAGUUGAUAUUUUCCUAUUAUGCAUGCAAUCGAAAUUUUAUGAAUA